Molecule: ribosomal RNA, 1138 nt
Filed under: human gut metagenome
Description: bacterial LSU rRNA
Rfam family: Bacterial large subunit ribosomal RNA
Source: RNAcentral
AAGCCAUUGAGUCUCCGCUGCCAAGAAAAGCUCCUAAGUUUAGCCGUGAGGAUCCGUACCGCAAACCAACACAGGUGGGUGGGAUGAAUAAUCCGAGGCGCUCGAGAGAACUCUGGCCAAGGAACUCGGCAAAAUGACCCCGUAACUUCGGAAGAAGGGGUGCUCCUCCGUGUGAACGGUUUUACAUUGUGAGCAUGAGGGAGCCGCAGUGAAUUGGUGGUGGCGACUGUUUACUAAAAACAUAGGUCUGUGCGAAGUCGCAAGACGACGUAUACGGACUGACGCCUGCCCGGUGCCGGAAGGUUAAGAGGAGAGGUCAGCGCAAGCGAAGCCUUGAAUCGAAGCCCCGGUAAACGGCGGCCGUAACUAUAACGGUCCUAAGGUAGCGAAAUUCCUUGUCGGGUAAGUUCCGACCUGCACGAAUGGCGUAACGAUCUCCACACUGUCUCGGCCAGAGACUCGGUGAAAUUGAAGUCGCGGUGAAAAUGCCGUGUACCCGCAGAAAGACGGAAAGACCCUGUGCACCUUUACUAUAGCUUGACAUUGGAUUUUGGGCCUAUAUGUGUAGGAUAGGUGGGAGGCUGUGAACCCUGUACGCCAGUAUGGGGGGAGCCACUGUUGAAAUACCACCCUUGUAUGUCUAAGGUCCUAACUCCACGCAGUGACCCUGCUGGAAGACAUUGUCUGGUGGGUAGUUUGACUGGGGCGGUCGCCUCCUAAAGAGUAACGGAGGCAUGCAAAGGUUCCCUCAGGCUGUUCGGAAACCAGCCGCUGAGUGCAAACGCAUAAGGGAGCUUGACUGCAAGAGAGACAUCUCGAACAGGUACGAAAGUAGGCGUUAGUGAUCCGGUGGUCCCGCAUGGAAGGGCCAUCGCUCAUUGGAUAAAAGGUACGCCGGGGAUAACAGGCUGAUCGCAUCCAAGAGUUCAUAUCGACGAUGCGGUUUGGCACCUCGAUGUCGGCUCAUCACAUCCUGGGGCUGAAGCAGGUCCCAAGGGUACGGCUGUUCGCCGUUUAAAGUGGUACGCGAGCUGGGUUUAAAACGUCGUGAGACAGUUUGGUCCCUAUCUUCUGUGGGCGUAGGAAUAUUGAGAGGGCCUGUCCCUAGUACGAGAGGACCGGGAUGGACACACCCCUG